CCUACGGGAGGCAGCAGUGAGGAAUAUUGGUCAAUGGACGAGAGUCUGAACCAGCCAAGUAGCGUGAAGGAUGACUGCCCUAUGGGUUGUAAACUUCUUUUAUAUGGGAAUAAAAUGUUCCACGUGUGGGAUUUUGUAUGUACCAUAUGAAUAAGGAUCGGCUAACUCCGUGCCAGCAGCCGCGGUAAUACGGAGGAUCCGAGCCUUAUCCGGAUUUAUUGGGGUUAAAGGGAGCGUAGGUGGAUUGUUAAGUCAGUUGUGAAAGUUUGCGGCUCAACCGUAAAAUUGCAGUUGAAACUGGCAGUCGUGAGUACAGUAGAGGUGGGCGGAAUUCGUGGUGUAGCGGUGAAAUGCUUAGAUAUCACGAAGAACUCCGAUUGCGAAGGCAGCUCACUGGACUGCAACUGACACUGAGGCUCGAAAGUGUGGGUAUCAAACAGGAUUAGAUACCCGAGUAGUC
Molecule: ribosomal RNA, 460 nt
Filed under: uncultured bacterium
Lineage: Bacteria
Description: partial 16S ribosomal RNA
Rfam family: Bacterial small subunit ribosomal RNA
Source: RNAcentral